This 460-nucleotide ribosomal RNA is filed under the name uncultured bacterium. RNAcentral describes it as "partial 16S ribosomal RNA". It matches the Rfam family "Bacterial small subunit ribosomal RNA", at positions 338 to 795 of the family's 1533-position model. The record is from RNAcentral.
CCUACGGGUGGCAGCAGUGAGGAAUAUUGGUCAAUGGCCGCAAGUCUGAACCAGCCAUGUCGCGUGCAGGAUGACUGCUCUAUGAGUUGUAAACUUCUUUUGUACGGGGAUAAACUCAGGUACGCGUGUCUUUCUGAAAGUAUCGUAUGAAUAAGGAUCGGCUAACUCCGUGCCAGCAGCCGCGGUAAUACGGAGGAUUCGAGCGUUAUCCGGAUUUAUUGGGUUUAAAGGGUGCGUAGGCGGGCGGAUAAGUUAGAGGUGAAAUACCGAGGCUCAACUUCGGAAUUGCCGCUGAUACUGGUCGGCUUGAGAGUAGUUGCGGUAGGCGGAAUGUAUGGUGUAGCGGUGAAAUGCUUAGAGAUCACACAGAACACCGAUUGCGAAGGCAGCUUACUAAGCUACUUCUGACGUUGAGGCACGAAAGCGUGGGGAGCAAACAGGAGUAGAUACCCUUGUAGUC